ACGAACGCUGGCGGCGUGCCUAAUACAUGCAAGUCGAGCGGACUAAUUAAGAGCUUGCUCUUAUGAGGUUAGCGGCGGACGGGUGAGUAACACGUGGGCAACCUGCCCUGUAGACUGGGAUAACAUCGAGAAAUCGGUGCUAAUACCGGAUAAUUGUUGGAACUGCAUAGUUCUAACUUAAAAGAUGGCUCCGGCUAUCACUAUAGGAUGGGCCCGCGGCGCAUUAGCUAGUUGGUAAGGUAAUGGCUUACCAAGGCGACGAUGCGUAGCCGACCUGAGAGGGUGAUCGGCCACACUGGGACUGAGACACGGCCCAGACUCCUACGGGAGGCAGCAGUAGGGAAUCUUCCGCAAUGGACGAAAGUCUGACGGAGCAACGCCGCGUGAGUGAUGAAGGUUUUCGGAUCGUAAAGCUCUGUUGUUAGGGAAGAACAAGUGCCGUUCGAAUAGGGCGGCACCUUGACGGCACCUAACCAGAAAGCCACGGCUAACUACGUG
This 498-nucleotide ribosomal RNA is filed under the name uncultured bacterium. Its description in RNAcentral is "bacterial SSU rRNA". It matches the Rfam family "Bacterial small subunit ribosomal RNA", at positions 29 to 507 of the family's 1533-position model. The record is from RNAcentral.